Molecule: ribosomal RNA, 251 nt
Filed under: uncultured bacterium
Lineage: Bacteria
Description: partial 16S ribosomal RNA
Rfam family: Bacterial small subunit ribosomal RNA
Source: RNAcentral
AACGGAGGGGGCGAGCGUUAUUCAUCCUUAUUGGGCGUAAAGGGUACGUAGGUUAUGAAAAAUAAUUAUUUCUAAAGAUCAGGUUCGUGUCUUGAGACUUGAAUAAUUAUGAAUUAAUUUGAGAUAAAUGCAGGUUGGCAGAAUUACUAAUGUAGGGGUAAAAUGUGACGAUAUUAGUACGAAUACCAAAAGCGCAGGCAGCCUUCUGUUGUAUCUGACACUGAGGUACUAAAGCAUGGGGAUCAAACAGG